GAUAUUACCCUUCCACCAAAUAUUUCGUUUUUACUAAUCCCCGAGUAUCAGAAAAAGUGCUUGAUGUCAUAAGUCUCCAUCAUAAUUAUCUCAAUAAUGGAAACGAAGAACACGAACAAGAGUGCCGAAUUUUAGCCACUUAUAAUCAAUCGGUAUAUUUUACCAAUGGGAAUUACACGAAAGCAACAUUUUCAAACACAGAAUUAAGUAAAAAUCCAUCAUAUAAAAAAUAUUCCAAGAUCUGGAACAACGUAAAUACAAGGACUGGAUUCUGGUGUCGAACACAAUUUAGUUCAUUCUCUGAUAUCUUCUCUAUAGCAAUAAAUAAAAAUGUUAAUUUUAUUAGCAAGAGAUUUACAGUUACAGUAAGUAAAGGAGAUUAUGUCGAUGUUUCUGAAUUGUUAAAUUUAAAAAAUAUUGACAUUGGCGACAAACUGAAAAUAAAUGGAGGGA
Molecule: long non-coding RNA, 453 nt
Organism: Centruroides sculpturatus (bark scorpion)
Lineage: Eukaryota; Metazoa; Arthropoda; Arachnida; Scorpiones; Buthidae
Exons: 4
Source: RefSeq, a predicted model, not a curated record